AACAUGUCUUUAUGAUAAUAAUUUAAAGUCAAAUCUGCUCAAUGAUGUAAUAAUUAAAUAGCUGCAGUAUAUUGACUGUACAAAGGUAGCAUAAUCAAUAGUUUUAUAAUUUAAAGCUGGAAUGAAUGAUUUGAUAAGGUAAAUAUUGUCUCAAUUUUAAUAAAAUUAGAAUUUUUAUUUUAGUAAAAAUACUGAAAUAAUUUUUAAAGACGAGAAGACCCUAUAGAUUUUUAUAUUUUAAAUUAAAUUGAUUUAAAAUAAUUAAUAAAUUUUAAUUAAGAAGUAUUUGGUUGGGGAAAUUAUUAAAUUAAUUAAAUUUUAAUUAGGAAAAUACAAAAAUUAUUGGGUAAAUGAAUUUGUAAUUAUGAAUUUUUAGAAUAAAAUACCUUAGGGAUAACAGCGUAAUUUUUUUGGAGAGAUCAUAUUAAUAAAAAAGUUUGCGACCUCGAUGUUGAAUUAAGAUAAAAUUUUAAUGAAGAAGUUAAAAAUUUUUGGUCUGUUCGACCAUUAAAAUCUUACGUGAUC
Molecule: ribosomal RNA, 525 nt
Filed under: Ceratomansa sp. n. BFS-2018
Lineage: Eukaryota; Metazoa; Arthropoda; Insecta; Hymenoptera; Ichneumonidae
Description: partial 16S large subunit ribosomal RNA
Rfam family: Archaeal large subunit ribosomal RNA (bases 393-525)
Source: RNAcentral